UUGAAGUGUGGAAUGCUCCAGGGCAAAGACAUGGAUCCACAGGCACAGGUGGAAAUAGGAGCUCACGCUUGAAUGAGUCAAGAAUACACAGAGAGUCUGCACAUCUCUUUUGAGCAGUUUGCUGUUUGUGUCGUUUAAAAUAGUGAAGGCUGAAAUUGUAGGAUACCUUAACAAGGCAGCUCAAAGAAUUUAACGAUGAGAAAUCGCUCGCUUUUACUUCAUCAUUCAAAGAACAAGCAAUGAAGAGACUUUUUCCUUGAAAGGGAUGGAGGAGGAAGUGUAGAGGAGCUAGCCUUAACUAUUUACUUCUGUCUUGGGAAAUCCAAAACUGGUCCACAGGGUUCACGGAUGACAGGGCAGCAGGCAGCAGCAGCAGGAGCUCUGGGUGAGGCUGUGGGAGUCUACUGGGGGUUGUUUUCUAAGGGGACUCAUAAAAUGAUCCCUGCGGCCCCAUUCCCAAGAACCAGGAACAUGGGGAUGUUCAGAGCUGUUUAACAUAACUCCCCAAUGGCAUCUGGUUAAUUCCAAGUGAUUGGGAGGACAAGAAGGAUUCUGGGGGCUGUGAAAAGGAAAAGGCUGAUUUGGGGGAAAGGAAGCAGAAAUAGUUAGGCCCAUGUCACAGCUGUGUGAUAAAUCUCUGGCCAUCCAUGCUGAAGUUCAUGGUGCUAAACUUAGAACCCAAGGCCAGGCCUGGGUAGGUUUGAGCAUCAAGGUCCUCUGAGGGGCAGCUGGGGGUGUUCAGCCUGGAGAAGAGGGGAGCCUUAUUGCUUUCUACAACAAGAGAGGUUGUAGCCAGAUGGGGGUUGGUCUCUCCUCCCAAGCAAAAAGUGGUAGGACAAGAGGAAAUGGCCUCAAGUUGUACCAGGGGAGUUUUAGAUUGAAUAUUAGAAAAAUUUUCUUCAAUGAAAGUGUUAUCAAGCAUUGGCACAGGCUGCCCAGGGAUGUGGUGCGGUCAUCAUCCCUGUAGGUAUUUAUAAGACAUGUAGAUGUGGCACUUAAGGACGUGGUUUAGUGGUGGACUUUGCGGUGCUGGGAAAAUGGUUGGACUUGAUGGUGUAAAGGUCUUUUCCAACCUAAACAGUUCUGGGAUUCUAUGAUAAAGAUUUCAUGCACAGCCCUGGUUCACAUAUCCUGGCUGUUGAGGGGCAGUAGGUAAAGCACAUGGACUCGGUCUCUCCCCUCCCUCUUCAAAGGAGUUUUAAAUGUCUCUCAGAUGCACUUGGGGUAAGUUGGGGAGGGAGGGAAUGACCUUUGGAUUCUCCCUCCAGAGGGAACCUGAGAAAAUGACCUUUUGGCCCUUAGCUCUGCAGGGCCUCGGGAGAGGUCGGGAGGAAUGACUCUUGGUCCAAUCUUGCUCACCACAGGGGCUAGGGCAAGGCAAAAGAGAAAGAACUCCAGGAAUAUGUGAUCACGGGAAUUUCUGUCGUCUUCUGAAAAAGAGGCAUGUUUACUUCAUAGCCCCUGUAAGAAAAAUAACCUGCCAGUGAGAAACAAGCAAGUCCAUUUAAAGCAAGAAAAAGCCUCAACUCAGUGACCUAGAAAUCAAUGCUGAAAGUAAAAGCUGAUAAAUAAAUAAAUAAGUAAAUAAAAUAAUCAGAGAUGUCGUGCAAAAAUCAAGGGGUGCCCUCUGAAGAGGUGUAAUCAAGGCUCUGAGCCUUCAGUUAUAAUGGUUUUGAUUAAAGAAAGCUGUGCAGAAAUAAUCUAUUUUAUUUUUAAAUGGCCUGAUUUUCCCUCACUACUCUCUUGGAGGCUGAACCUAGAACAAUUUGGAGGAGGACAUGAAGCGUUCAGUGAAAAA
Molecule: long non-coding RNA, 1798 nt
Organism: Vidua chalybeata
Lineage: Eukaryota; Metazoa; Chordata; Aves; Passeriformes; Viduidae
Exons: 3
Source: RefSeq, a predicted model, not a curated record